UACGGAGGGGGCUAGCGUUGUUCGGAAUUACUGGGCGUAAAGCGCACGUAGGCGGCUUUGCAAGUUAGAGGUGAAAGCCCGGGGCUCAACUCCGGAAUUGCCUUUAAAACUGCAUCGCUAGAAUUGUGGAGAGGUAAGUGGAAUUCCGAGUGUAGAGGUGAAAUUCGUAGAUAUUGGGAAGAACACCGGUGGCGAAGGCGGCUCACUGGCCCGUAACUGACGCUGAGGAGCGAAAGCAUGGGGAGCGAACGAGG
Molecule: ribosomal RNA, 254 nt
Filed under: uncultured bacterium
Lineage: Bacteria
Description: partial 16S ribosomal RNA
Rfam family: Bacterial small subunit ribosomal RNA
Source: RNAcentral